This 428-nucleotide unclassified non-coding RNA is filed under the name Hevea brasiliensis (rubber tree). Lineage: Eukaryota; Viridiplantae; Streptophyta; Magnoliopsida; Malpighiales; Euphorbiaceae. The record is from RNAcentral.
AAUUAUAGAGUCUUCAAUCUUCUGUAGACAACUACAAUACAGAAGAAAACCAGCCAACUCUUGCUUGCACCACUUAAAAUCCAGAAAUGGAACCAACCAACAACAUUUUUUUUUUUGCUAGCAAAAAAGCAGAGUUGAUUGCAAACGUACUGCCUUAUUGUAUUUACAAAGCAUAUAUCUUCUCCAUAUCAGAGUUGUAGUCAUCAAUAUCUGAUAUGUUUGCCGAGUACACAGACCAUGAGAAAGACUUACUGCCACUAGCCCUUUUUAUGCGCCUCUGUGAAUCUCUAGACACUCCGAAAUGUUGUCGGAAAACAAAGUAGCACAUGCUUGCAAGUGUCCCAACAAGAAUUGGUGCACCCAUUAAGGUUAUUGUUAUAGCCAUCCAGGAACUGCCUUUUCCCACUACCACAAAAGCUACAGACAGA